GACGAACGCUGGCGGCGUGCUUAACACAUGCAAGUCGAACGGAAAGGCCCCUUUGGGGGUACUCGAGUGGCGAACGGGUGAGUAACACGUGAGUAACCUGCCCUUGACUUCGGGAUAACUUCAGGAAACUGGGGCUAAUACCGGAUAGGAAUCCUUGCUGCAUGGUGGGGGUUGGAAAGCUUCGGCGGUUUUGGAUGGACUCGCGGCUUAUCAGCUUGUUGGUGGGGUAGUGGCUUACCAAGGCUUUGACGGGUAGCCGGCCUGAGAGGGCGACCGGCCACAUUGGGACUGAGAUACGGCCCAGACUCCUACGGGAGGCAGCAGUGGGGAAUAUUGCACAAUGGGCGGAAGCCUGAUGCAGCAACGCCGCGUGCGGGAUGACGGCCUUCGGGUUGUAAACCGCUUUCAGCAGGGGCGAAGCUUGUGGUGACGGUACCUGCCGAAGAAGCACCGGCUAACUACGUG
This 465-nucleotide ribosomal RNA is filed under the name uncultured bacterium. RNAcentral describes it as "partial 16S ribosomal RNA". It matches the Rfam family "Bacterial small subunit ribosomal RNA", at positions 28 to 507 of the family's 1533-position model. The record is from RNAcentral.